This 301-nucleotide ribosomal RNA is filed under the name uncultured bacterium. Its description in RNAcentral is "bacterial SSU rRNA". It matches the Rfam family "Bacterial small subunit ribosomal RNA", at positions 334 to 633 of the family's 1533-position model. The record is from RNAcentral.
CAGUCCUACGGGAGGCAGCAGUGAGGAAUAUUGGUCAAUGGUCGGGAGACUGAACCAGCCAAGCCGCGUGAGGGAUGAAGGUACAGAGUAUCGUAAACCUCUUUUGUCAGGGAACAAAGGCGGGGACGCGUCCCCGGAUGAGUGUACCUGAAGAAAGAGCAUCGGCUAACUCCGUGCCAGCAGCCGCGGUAAUACGGAGGAUGCGCGCGUUAUCCGGAUUUAUUGGGUUUAAAGGGUGCGCAGGCGGUCUGUUAAGUCAGCGGUCAAAGCCCGGGGCUCAACCCCGGCCCGCCGUUUACAC